CCUACGGGAGACAGCAGUGAGGAAUAUUGGUCAAUGGUCGCGAGCCUGAACCAGCCAAGUCGCGUGAGGGAGGACGGUCCUAUGGAUUGUAAACCUCUUUUGUCAAGGAACAAAGCCUGGCACGUGUGCCCUGCUGAAUGUACCUUACGAAUAAGGAUCGGCUAACUCCGUUCCAGCAGCCGCGGUAAUACGGAGGAUCCGAGCGUUAUCCGGAUUUAUUGGGUUUAAAGGGUGCGUAGGGGGGUUGUUAAGUCAGUUGUGAAAGGUCCGGGCUUAACCCCGGAACUGCCUUUGAUACUGGCAGUCUUGAGUGAGAGAGAAGUAGGCGGAAUGUGUGGUGUAGCGGUGAAAUGCAUAGAUAUCGCGCAGAACUCCGAUUGCGAAGGCAGCAUACCG
RNAcentral lists this ribosomal RNA (396 nucleotides) under uncultured bacterium. RNAcentral's name for it is "partial 16S ribosomal RNA". It matches the Rfam family "Bacterial small subunit ribosomal RNA", at positions 338 to 731 of the family's 1533-position model. The record is from RNAcentral.